AGGACACACAAGCACACACAGCGACGCACAUCUCCAAAACAAAAAUACACGAUAAAAAGAAGGAGGGCGCGCCGGGGGGUCUCUUUGCGCGUACCUCCUCGACUCCCCUCAACAAGCUGGCCUUGACACAGCCGCCUGCCGCUGCUACCGCCUCUCUUUGUUCCCGGCCGUUCCCUCUUUCCUUUGCCUUCGUGCCUGCGAAGCAUCGGCCCUUGGUUCUUUCCCUCCACCCCUUCCGUGGCCCGCUCUCCCCAGCACUAAAGAGUCCGCUGCGAUGUCGUUCUCGACGGAAAGAUCGCCAGAAGAGGGGGCCGUGCCGAAUGCGCAAGAGUGGGCGGCACUCGCGGAGUACGAGCGGCUAGAGGCCGUGUUCCACCUGCUUAAGCGCAUCUCUGGGACGUGUCUGCGCCACGGCCACCUCCGCGUAAUGGAAAGAGAGGAGUUAAUGUGCUUCGGUGCUCAUGCAGAGCCCAUCAGCACCACGCGCCGACUGCUCCUUUACGGGCGCGUGCCGUAUUGCCACAGGGAGGCGCUGUUGGCGUUCGUGCGGCAGGUGCGCCUGCAUUCGGUGCGUGACCUCGACACUGCUGUCACGGUGGGAUUGCAGGCAGGCGACCUUGUCCCGCACCUGCUGCUGGAGCCUCUCACGCCGUCUCUCCACACCAACGCGUACGCGCUUUGGCACCGCGUCUAUUGCGCCAUGCGAUGCGGCAUCUUCCGCCACAUGGAGGUGCGGCAGCAAAAGAUGAAGCAUCGCCUACGCCAGCUGAUACGCGAGUCGGCGGUGACGUCGUCGACCAGCGAAGCAGCAAACAGGAAGGAAGCGGGUACGCGGGUGGACACGGUGGCCGCGUCGCCGGACAAGUUGAGCACCUCAGGGCGCGCAAACACGCUGCGCUUCUACGCGCACGAGUUCGCCCACCUCGUUGGCAAGAAUGCCGGCGCGCCGAAAGAUCAAGGCGGCGCGGACGGCUCUCGUGAGCCACUAGCGCUGGAGGACUUCGUGGCCACCGCGAAGGAGACGCGGGUCUCGCUGGCCUGCAUUGCCGCCACUGUCCCUUCCGUCUUCGUCGUGUGGUCGUGCCGCUACCCCGAAUGCGUGGACUGGCUGCGGCGGCAUCUGUUUAACGACUCCCACCUGCAAGAGGUGCUGGACAAAACCGGACUCUCAGGGCGGUACGCGGUCCUCCUGGACAAAGACCCUUGGCUGUCGUUUGCAGCCGAGCAGGGCGAGGUGCUGCCGCGUCUCCCGGCGAAGGAAACUUUUCGCAUCGAGCUGCUGAAGUCGCUUCCGAAGCGGGCGCAAAUCGUUCUGCUGAACGUGGACGAGGAUGUCGCCGAGGCUCGCACGGCGUACGAGCACCUGAAAGGAGGGCUUCAUGGUUGGCAGAGCCCCGAAGUCGAUCUGCUGUCGCUAUGGUGUGGACAUCAGGGCCUUCAAUCAGAGGUGGCGACUCUCUUCCGCAUCGAAACGCUCCCCUUCAUCGUCGGCGCGCGCCCGGGAGGCCGCAGCAGAUCGUCGAAAGCGUCUUCUCGAGCGAAGCUGUUCAUGAAUAACAGUAGACGUCCAGUGAUUGUCCGUUCCUCACGCGAUACACUUGAGGUGGCGAAGGAUAUGUACGGCAUCGCCGACACACCGAAGAUGCGCCGCAGGCGAGGCGAGCGCGGCGCACCAACGCUGGCACUGUCUGAGAACGACAACACAUGGCAUAACCUCACUGCCUCAGAGCGCGCCCACAUUGUCGACCGGCUGAGCAAGCACAUCGUGCAACGCCGCCUUCCGUUGUGCUUCACCGCCUGUGUUGGACGGGAGUACGUGAUACGCAACCCUUACACCAGUGAUCCGUGGAAGGCUGUGGAGUGUGUCGCCAGCUCGUACGUGAGACUCGACGGCGAGUACGUCACCGGGCAAGACUUGAUGCCGGUUGCCACGGAGCUGCGUCACAUGCAUCAGCUAGACGGUUUUCAGUUCAACGUCAGUAUCAUAGAGCCCUCGGCACCGCUUGUGUCGUCGUUGAAUUUGGUGACGCCGCAGAUGCGAGUGGAAGGUAAGACGCACGUUGCCACGUGCGCACACUGCGAGCUGGCCAUGAACGUCGACGUCAGCGCACAUUUAAGAUGCUUGCAUUGCGCCUCGAGUGAUAAGAGUGCCAUCCUGUGUGAGGUGUGCGCCUUCACAGCCCUGCACCAUCCACCUCACCACAUUCUUCUGCGGAUUCCAGCUGGCGUCUGGGCCCCGUCGUUGCCGUUGCUGUGGGGCCCUUCCAACGUCGCUCCGCUUGCUGUGCUUGCGGAACGAUUCAAACCAAACCCCUCCAGGUACCACUACGGCAUCUACUGCAAUCGGUGCCGCAGCAUGAUCCGCGGCACCCGAUGGAAGUGCGCGCGCUGCUACCAGUAUGACCUCUGUGACACAUGCGCCCGCAUCUACAGCAAGCGAGCAGCGUCCACGAAGUCCAAAUCGGAUAUCAUUGCCCGCGGAGACGCACCGCUGCCUGUGAUGCCCUCCUCGUCACCAUCGCCGCUGCGGCCCACGCCGCACGUGGCACCUUUGUGUAGCGAGGACGCGACGCACCCAAUGCUGUUCAUCCCCAAUAUGCAGGGGUGUAGCGCCAACAGCUUUCUGAAGCCGCCGUGCACGGCGAACUUGGGCGAGUGGUUGCGUACACUCUGAUGCAGUGACUUGCACGCAGAAUGGCACAAGCUCCCCUCCCCAUCCCCCUCUGCUCAUGGUAUCGGCUCUUGUAGUUUCUUAGAUGGGGGCUACGCUGGCCUUGCUUUUUUCUUUCCUCUCUUCGAUGCAGAUGUGCACCUGGCGGAAGCUCGCACCGAGCGCGCGUGCCGUGCCGAUGUUCAUUAUGAUGUCUCUCUGCCUUUUUUUGCACCUACCCGACACCAAUGUAUCAAGCCCUCCCUCUACGCCCCUCUCACGUGCGUGUGUAUGCGUGUGUGUGUGUGAGACUGCGUAUGAACGUCACCACCUCCUCCUCCUUUUCUCCCGACGUACUCUCGUGUUAGGACCAUCGCGCCAUUGUUGCGGCCCCUGCCUCUUUGGUCCCUCACCGCCACUCUCUAUCAUCCCUCCCCACUUCCAUUCCUUCCUCACCCCGCUGACCCACACACGCAACUCUGCAG
This 3135-nucleotide unclassified non-coding RNA is filed under the name Leishmania donovani. Its description in RNAcentral is "gene:LdHU3.20.0360(CDS-product:E3_ubiquitin-prote in_ligase_KCMF1_putative)". Lineage: Eukaryota; Euglenozoa; Kinetoplastea; Trypanosomatida; Trypanosomatidae. The record is from RNAcentral.